UUCCAGGGAGGUGUGGUGAAGGGAGCCCUUGCGAGCAGCUCUGCCGGGAGCUCCACGACGGCACGUACGAGUGCGGCUGCGGCCCUGGGUUUGUUCUCCACGUCGAUGGCUACGGCUGUCUUGAGCUUAACGCAACAAAAACAACAGACCCGUCAACCGACACAGAAGAAGAUGUGUUAUAUCAGAAAGACGUUUCUUUCUCCGCCGAGCUAGAAGUGGCUCCGUCCAAUAGGAAUAAGUCUACUCUAAGAGAUAAACAUAUCGAGAAACAAACAGCACUGCCAGAGAAACAAAACUAUACGUAUACUGGCGAGAGGAGUAAAGAAGUUGACGGAUUGAAAAGUUUGAUAGAAGAUGGUGUUAGUAAGAUCGAUAUUAACAUCAUAGCUGACGGGCACGAGUUUGAAGCUAGUGAAUUGAAGGUGACGACGCUUGGGCCCAGUUUAGAACAAAAGGUACCCGGCGCAACUGUGUCACCCCCAUGGACGGCCGCGGUGGAAACCUGCGAUUGUGGCUGUGACAGUCGUUGUUCCUGCCCUCUACCAUCGAAAUGCAAAUCAG
Amyelois transitella is the source of this 561-nucleotide RNA transcript. RefSeq lists it as uncharacterized. The record is from RefSeq and is a predicted model, not a curated record. The transcript is spliced from 3 exons. Lineage: Eukaryota; Metazoa; Arthropoda; Insecta; Lepidoptera; Pyralidae.